Molecule: long non-coding RNA, 1018 nt
Filed under: Capra hircus (goat)
Lineage: Eukaryota; Metazoa; Chordata; Mammalia; Artiodactyla; Bovidae
Description: lncRNA (ENSCHIG00000001371.1)
Source: RNAcentral
GUUUUUUUCUAAAUUGGACAUUUCAGAUAAAUUUUUCUCAUUAAUUGUACUAUAAAUGGUGGGCUACUAGAAUUAACUGUGUGCUUCUUUUUUUAUUAUAGGCUUACAAGAACUGUAAUUAUUUAUUAAAAUGGAAAACUCUGAAGAAAGAAAAAGAUAGCAGUUGCAGUUAAAAUUCCUGGAUGAAUAUUUUGCUUUUGAGAAGUGUGCAUUUAAAAACGAUAUGUUGAUUUGGAAAGUCCCAGGAGUCAAUUACAAAAUCCACUUUUUCCAUUCAAUCAAUGGAGUUUUUCAUCAUUCCUUGGAGCUGAUGAAAUUCAGAGAUGGUGCGUGAUGGGAAGUGUUUUCCUAGUGAUUGCAUCUUGGAUUAGCUUGCUGCUUUUUUGAAGAUAUUCUAUUGUGAAGGGCAAGAACCUAAUGUGAUGGAUUUAUCUUCAGAGAUGAGCAGACAUGGGAAGAACCCAGUGAGUCACAAGCUAGAAGAUCAGAAAAAGCUUCAUGGCGGAUACAUGAUAAACAAGAAAGUGAUGCACUGAACUGUGAAACUGUUCAUCUCAAGUAGGAAGAAACUUACCUUAAGAACAUUGGAGAUUUCCUGGAUGCACAGGUUUCAUUCAACCGUCGGGAGCAGCAUGUGAUUGUUUAGUCAUGUAAGUAGUGACUCAGAGGUUGGGGGGCAGGCAGCUCUGAGUGACAAUCCCAGGUCCAUCACUUUCCAGGAUGUUUGACCCUGGACAAAUGGGUUGAUCUCUCUGAAUUUCUUGUACUCGAGGGAAAUGUUAAUAGUAUUCUGGGACGGUUGCAGUGUAUUCUAAAACCUUUACAGGUGCAAGAUACGUGACAAGAACUCAGAAGAUGGUAGUUUUUGAUUAUUUGAGCAUAUCAACUUAACAGGUUUUAUUUGUACAGACUCUGGAUUUGAUCACCGUUUAGCCUUUUUGGGGGCUUCCCCAGUGGCCCAGCAGGUUAAGAAUUCAUCUGCAGUGCAGGAGACACAGGAGAUGCAGGUUUGAUCCCU